GACGAACGCUGGCGGCGUGCUUAACACAUGCAAGUCGAACGGUAAGGCCCUUCGGGGUACACGAGUGGCGAACGGGUGAGUAACACGUGGGUGAUCUGCCCUGCACUUCGGGAUAAGCCUGGGAAACUGGGUCUAAUACCGGAUAGGACUCCUGGCGUCAUGGUUGGGGGUGGAAAGCUUUUGCGGUGUGGGAUGGGCCCGCGGCCUAUCAGCUUGUUGGUGGGGUAAUGGCCUACCAAGGCGACGACGGGUAGCCGGCCUGAAGAGGGUGACCGGUCACACUGGGACUGAGAUACGGCCCAGACUCCUACGGGAGGCAGCAGUGGGGAAUAUUGCACAAUGGGCGCAAGCCUGAUGCAGCGACGCCGCGUGAGGGAUGACGGCCUUCGGGUUGUAAACCUCUUUCAGCUAUGACGAAGCGCAAGUGACGGUAGUAGCAGAAGAAGGACCGGCCAACUACGUGCCAGCAGCCGCAGUAA
RNAcentral lists this ribosomal RNA (479 nucleotides) under uncultured bacterium. RNAcentral describes it as "partial 16S ribosomal RNA". It matches the Rfam family "Bacterial small subunit ribosomal RNA", at positions 28 to 523 of the family's 1533-position model. The record is from RNAcentral.